UGCCAGCAGCCGCGGUAAUACGGAGGGUGCGAGCGUUAAUCGGAAUUACUGGGCGUAAAGCGCGCGUAGGUGGCCUGUUAAGCAGGAUGUGAAAUCCCCGAGCUCAACUUGGGAACUGCAUCCUGAACUGGCAGGCUAGAGUAUAGUAGAGGAUAGUGGAAUUUCUGGUGUAGCGGUGAAAUGCGUAGAUAUCAGAAGGAACAUCAGUGGCGAAGGCGACUGUCUGGACUAAUACUGACACUGAGGUGCGAAAGCGUGGGGAGCAAACAGGAUUAGAUA
This 279-nucleotide ribosomal RNA is filed under the name uncultured bacterium. Its description in RNAcentral is "partial 16S ribosomal RNA". It matches the Rfam family "Bacterial small subunit ribosomal RNA", at positions 506 to 784 of the family's 1533-position model. The record is from RNAcentral.